GGUACGAGCAGUCUGCCCGAAAAUCUUUGAAACUCCCGGCUCGAAGACUUGGCCUCAAGAUAUUGCCCCUUCCUGCUUUUCGCCCGGGUGGGCUGGUACGACAGGAUUCCGCC
This 113-nucleotide non-coding RNA is filed under the name Chromera velia. Lineage: Eukaryota; Chromeraceae. The record is from RNAcentral.